RNAcentral lists this ribosomal RNA (482 nucleotides) under uncultured bacterium. RNAcentral describes it as "partial 16S ribosomal RNA". It matches the Rfam family "Bacterial small subunit ribosomal RNA", at positions 30 to 507 of the family's 1533-position model. The record is from RNAcentral.
AUUGAACGCUGGCGGCAUGCCUUACACAUGCAAGUCGAACGGUAACGGGCCUUCGGGUGCCGACGAGUGGCGAACGGGUGAGUAAUACAUCGGAACGUGCCCGAUCGUGGGGGAUAACGAGGCGAAAGCUUUGCUAAUACCGCAUACGAUCUACGGAUGAAAGCAGGGGACCGCAAGGCCUUGCGCGGACGGAGCGGCCGAUGGCAGAUUAGGUAGUUGGUGGGAUAAAAGCUUACCAAGCCGACGAUCUGUAGCUGGUCUGAGAGGAUGAUCAGCCACACUGGGACUGAGACACGGCCCAGACUCCUACGGGAGGCAGCAGUGGGGAAUUUUUGACAAUGGGCGCAAGCCUGAUCCAGCCAUGCCGCGUGCAGGAUGAAGGCCUUCGGGUUGUAAACUGCUUUUGUACGGAACGAAAAGCCUUCUUUUAAUACAGGAGGGUCAUGACGGUACCGUAAGAAUAAGCACCGGCUAACUACGUG